AUUGAACGCUGGCGGCAGGCUUAACACAUGCAAGUCGAGCGAGCGGCGGACGGGUGAGUAAGGACUGGGAAACUGCCUGAUGGAGGGGGAUAACUAAUGGAAACGGUAGCUAAUACCGCAUACCCUAAGAUGUGCCAAGAUGGGAUUAGCUAGUAGGUGGGGUAAUGGCUCACCUAGGCGACGAUCCGUCGCGGGUCUGAGAGGAUGACCAGCAACACUGGAACUGAGACACGGUCCAGACUCCUACGGGAGGCAGCAGUGGGGAAUAUUGCACAAUGGGCGCAAGCCUGAUGCAGCCAUGCCGCGUGUGUGAAGAAGGCCUUCGGGUUGUAAAGCACUUUCAGCGAGGAGGCGUUACUCGCAGAAGAAGCACCGGCUAACUCCGUGCCAGCAGCCGCGGUAAUUC
RNAcentral lists this ribosomal RNA (406 nucleotides) under uncultured bacterium. RNAcentral describes it as "partial 16S ribosomal RNA". It matches the Rfam family "Bacterial small subunit ribosomal RNA", at positions 30 to 526 of the family's 1533-position model. The record is from RNAcentral.